RNAcentral lists this ribosomal RNA (1440 nucleotides) under Muribaculaceae bacterium Isolate-104 (HZI). RNAcentral's name for it is "partial 16S ribosomal RNA". It matches the Rfam family "Bacterial small subunit ribosomal RNA". The record is from RNAcentral. Lineage: Bacteria; Pseudomonadati; Bacteroidota; Bacteroidia; Bacteroidales; Muribaculaceae.
UGCCGGCGACCGGCGCACGGGUGAGUAACACGUAUGCAACCUACCCUUUACAGCGGGAUAACCGGAAGAAAUUUCGCCUAAUACCGCAUAUACUCCUUGGGAGGCAUCUUCCGAGGGGGAAAGAAUUUCGGUGAAGGAUGGGCAUGCGUCGCAUUAGUUAGUUGGCGGUGUAACGGACCACCAAGACGACGAUGCGUAGGGGUUCUGAGAGGAAGGUCCCCCACACUGGUACUGAGACACGGACCAGACUCCUACGGGAGGCAGCAGUGAGGAAUAUUGGUCAAUGGCCGAGAGGCUGAACCAGCCAAGUCGCGUGAGGGAAGAAUGUCCUAUGGAUUGUAAACCUCUUUUGUCAGGGAGCAAAGUCACCCACGUGUGGGUGUUGGAGAGUACCUGAAGAAAAAGCAUCGGCUAACUCCGUGCCAGCAGCCGCGGUAAUACGGAGGAUGCGAGCGUUAUCCGGAUUUAUUGGGUUUAAAGGGUGCGUAGGCGGGUUAUCAAGUCAGCGGUAAAAUCGUGGAGCUCAACUCCAUCCAGCCGUUGAAACUGAUGAUCUUGAGUGGGCGAGAAGUAUGCGGAAUGCGUGGUGUAGCGGUGAAAUGCAUAGAUAUCACGCAGAACUCCGAUUGCGAAGGCAGCAUACCGGCGCCCGACUGACGCUGAAGCACGAAAGCGUGGGUAUCGAACAGGAUUAGAUACCCUGGUAGUCCACGCAGUAAACGAUGAAUACUAAUUGUGUGCUCCGAAUGAGGAGUGCGUGAUACAGCGAAAGCGUUAAGUAUUCCACCUGGGGAGUACGCCGGCAACGGUGAAACUCAAAGGAAUUGACGGGGGCCCGCACAAGCGGAGGAACAUGUGGUUUAAUUCGAUGAUACGCGAGGAACCUUACCCGGGCUCAAACGCAGGAGGGAUGUUUUUGAAAGGAGGCAGCUCUACGGAGUCUCCUGCGAGGUGCUGCAUGGUUGUCGUCAGCUCGUGCCGUGAGGUGUCGGCUUAAGUGCCAUAACGAGCGCAACCCCUACCGCCAGUUGCCAACGGGUAAAGCCGGGAACUCUGGCGGGACUGCCGGCGCAAGCUGUGAGGAAGGCGGGGAUGACGUCAAAUCAGCACGGCCCUUACGUCCGGGGCGACACACGUGUUACAAUGGCAGGUACAGCGGGAAGCCACUUGGCGACAAGGCGCGGAACCCGAAAACCUGUCUCAGUUCGGAUUGGAGUCUGCAACCCGACUCCAUGAAGCUGGAUUCGCUAGUAAUCGCGCAUCAGCCACGGCGCGGUGAAUACGUUCCCGGGCCUUGUACACACCGCCCGUCAAGCCAUGGAAGCCGGGGGUGCCUGAAGUGCGUGACCGCAAGGAGCGCCCUAAGGUAAAACCGGUGACUGGGGCUAAGUCGUAACAAGGUAGCCGUACCGGAAGGUGCGGCUGGAACACCUCCUUUCU